AACCUGCCUUUGAGAAGGGGAUAACUGUCCGAAAGGAUAGCUAAUACCCUAUAUUGCCUUUUGUCACUAAGGCAAAAAGUGAAAGCGAGGCUGUCAAAGGCUUCGGCUCAAAGAGGGGUUCGCGUCCUAUCAGGUAGUUGGUGGGGUAAUGGCCUACCAAGCCAAUGACGGGUAGCUGGUCUUAGAGGAUGAUCAGCCACAGUGGGACUGAGACACGGCCCGCACCCCUACGGGGGGCAGCAGUGGGGAAUCGUGGGCAAUGGGCGCAAGCCUGACCCCGCAAUGCCGCGUGAGGGAAGAAGCCCUUCGGGGUGUAAACCUCUGUCAGAUGGGAAGAUGGGACUAGGGGCUAAUACCUCCUGGUCUUGACGGUACCAUCAGAGGAAGGGACGGCUA
This 396-nucleotide ribosomal RNA is filed under the name uncultured bacterium. RNAcentral's name for it is "bacterial SSU rRNA". It matches the Rfam family "Bacterial small subunit ribosomal RNA", at positions 123 to 499 of the family's 1533-position model. The record is from RNAcentral.